RNAcentral lists this ribosomal RNA (254 nucleotides) under uncultured bacterium. RNAcentral's name for it is "partial 16S ribosomal RNA". It matches the Rfam family "Bacterial small subunit ribosomal RNA", at positions 524 to 776 of the family's 1533-position model. The record is from RNAcentral.
CACGUAGGGGGCGAGCGUUGUCCGGAUUUAUUGGGCGUAAAGAGCUCGUAGGCGGCUCGGUAAGUCGGGUGUGAAAACUCGGGGCUCAACCCCGAGACGCCACUCGAUACUGCCAUGGCUAGAGUCCGGUAGGGGAGCGUGGAAUUCCUGGUGUAGCGGUGAAAUGCGCAGAUAUCAGGAGGAACACCGAUGGCGAAGGCAGUUCUCUGGGCCGUAACUGACGCUGAGGAGCGAAAGCCAGGGGAGCAAACGGG